This 34-nucleotide non-coding RNA is filed under the name Prorocentrum micans. The record is from RNAcentral. Lineage: Eukaryota; Dinophyceae; Prorocentrales; Prorocentraceae.
UUUUUUUUUUUUUUUUUUUUUUUUUUUUUCAGCA